GACGAACGCUGGCGGCGUGCUUAACACAUGCAAGUCGAACGGAAAGGCCCUGCUUUUGUGGGGUGCUCGAGUGGCGAACGGGUGAGUAACACGUGAGUAACCUGCCCUUGACUUUGGGAUAACUCCAGGAAACUGGGGCUAAUACCGGAUAGGAGCUCCUGCUGCAUGGUGGGGGUUGGAAAGUUUCGGCGGUUGGGGAUGGACUCGCGGCUUAUCAGCUUGUUGGUGGGGUAGUGGCUUACCAAGGCUUUGACGGGUAGCCGGCCUGAGAGGGUGACCGGCCACAUUGGGACUGAGAUACGGCCCAGACUCCUACGGGAGGCAGCAGUGGGGAAUAUUGCACAAUGGGCGGAAGCCUGAUGCAGCAACGCCGCGUGUGGGAUGACGGCCUUCGGGUUGUAAACCGCUUUCGCCUGUGACGAAGCGUGAGUGACGGUAAUGGGUAAAGAAGCACCGGCUAACUACGUG
This 468-nucleotide ribosomal RNA is filed under the name uncultured bacterium. Its description in RNAcentral is "partial 16S ribosomal RNA". It matches the Rfam family "Bacterial small subunit ribosomal RNA", at positions 28 to 507 of the family's 1533-position model. The record is from RNAcentral.